AACGAACGCUGGCGGCAUGCCUAACACAUGCAAGUCGAACGAGACCUUCGGGUCUAGUGGCGCACGGGUGCGUAACGCGUGGGAACCUGCACUUAGGUUCGGAAUAACUCCCCGAAAGGGGUGUUAAUACAGGAUAAUGUCUUCGGACCAAAGAUCUCUCGCCUUUGGAUGGGCCCGCGUUGGUUUAGCUAGUUGGUAGGGUAAAAGCCUACCAAGGCGACGAUCCAUAGCUGGUGUGUGAGGAUGAUCAGCCACACUGGGGAUGGGACACGGACUAGACUCCGACGGAAAGGAGCGGAGGGGAAUAUAGGACGAGGGGCGAAGGCCUGAUCCAGCAGUGCCGGGGAAGUGAGGAAGGCCGUAGGGUUGUAAAGCUCUUUGACCCGGGAUGAUAGUGACGGUACCGGGUGAAUAAGCUCCGGCUAACUCCGUG
RNAcentral lists this ribosomal RNA (433 nucleotides) under uncultured bacterium. Its description in RNAcentral is "partial 16S ribosomal RNA". It matches the Rfam family "Bacterial small subunit ribosomal RNA", at positions 29 to 507 of the family's 1533-position model. The record is from RNAcentral.